CCUACGGGUGGCAGCAGUGAGGAAUAUUGGUCAAUGGGCGCGAGCCUGAACCAGCCAAGUAGCGUGAAGGAUGACUGCCCUACGGGUUGUAAACUUCUUUUAUAAGGGAAUAAAGUGCGGCACGUGUGCUUCUUUGCAUGUACUUUAUGAAUAAGGAUCGGCUAACUCCGUGCCAGCAGCCGCGGUAAUACGGAGGAUCCGAGCGUUAUCCGGAUUUAUUGGGUUUAAAGGGAGCGUAGAUGGGUUGUUAAGUCAGUUGUGAAAGUUUGCGGCUCAACCGUAAAAUUGCAAUUGAUACUGGCAGCCUUGAGUACAGUUGAGGUAGGCGGAAUUCGUGGUGUAGCGGUGAAAUGCUUAGAUAUCACGAAGAACUCCGAUUGCGAAGGCAGCCUACUAAACUGUAACUGACACUGAUGCUCGAAAGUGUGGGUAUCAAACAGGAUUAGAUACCCCUGUAGUC
RNAcentral lists this ribosomal RNA (460 nucleotides) under uncultured bacterium. RNAcentral's name for it is "partial 16S ribosomal RNA". It matches the Rfam family "Bacterial small subunit ribosomal RNA", at positions 338 to 795 of the family's 1533-position model. The record is from RNAcentral.